Molecule: non-coding RNA, 30 nt
Filed under: Rattus norvegicus (Norway rat)
Lineage: Eukaryota; Metazoa; Chordata; Mammalia; Rodentia; Muridae
Source: RNAcentral
UCUUCAUGGAGCCAUCAUCGUCUGAAGAGA